Drosophila teissieri is the source of this 1533-nucleotide long non-coding RNA. RefSeq lists it as uncharacterized. The transcript has 3 exons. Lineage: Eukaryota; Metazoa; Arthropoda; Insecta; Diptera; Drosophilidae. The record is from RefSeq and is a predicted model, not a curated record.
AUAUAUGUCGCUGCGGGACAAAAAGAUAAAUUCGAGGACCACAAUUUCGGUUACUUAAAGGAGCAGGGGAACCGCGCAUUCGGCCAACAUCGACGAGGAAGCAUUGUAUGAAGGAGACGUCUUUUAAGGAUCAUAGAUUUUUUGUCAAAUAAGGGCUAAAUGAGCGACAUUUUGUACUGACUGAGGGAUCCAGUCACCACUCGCGACAGCGCAGGAGUAGAAUCAGCACUGGGAAGUCUGACCCCUUUUCUACCGCCAGUGGAGCUUCCGAUUAAAAAGAGCGGCAGUAGUUUGACACUUUAACGGAUCAGCUGCAGUAUAUUACGGUGGAGUGUAGAACGUUACGAUGGAUUGGCGACAAAAGUUUCAGAUAAGUGGCAUUGUGUAAAGAAUAAUGCUGUUGAGUCGACUUAGUUUCCUCAUGCUUUAGCCGUUCGUUUAUCCUGCUCGUGUCUCUUAUCUUUGCAGGUUCUUCAGUGCAUGGCCAGGAGGGUGUCUUCAUUCAGGUGCGCAUCGUCAGGAUCAGCAAGGUCACUGCGUCGAUAGGCGUCGGAUAGCUUAGGAUAUUGAGACGAAGAUAUAAGUUCAUUGCUUUGCAGGUUUUCAAUGGAGCUGAAGAGGGCCUUUCUUCGCUUUUCAUCAAGAAUUUUUAGCCAACCGACUCCUUCAUCUCCGUAUUAUUAAUUUUAUUUAUUUUAUUUUAAAUUUAGUUUCAUAAGUGGAUGUCCCUAAUGUAUAGUAUAAGUCUCAUUAACAUGUCUAUUUUCUCCUCGUCGUUAGAGAAGCUAUUUUGUAGGUAGGUAUUUGGUCCAUGUUCCUCGAUAAUCCUUGUUUUAGCCUAGUUUGAAGUUUACGACUUUUACUUGCCGUUUGUAGAAUUUGUUCCGCCUUUGCCGGCAUUCCUGCGCCAUCGGUUUAGCCUUUUCUGAAUGGUUGCGUCGUGAGUGGAGAAACGCGGUUGGGUAACAUUCCGUCAUUUCUGUUUGGCCUGAAAAGAUUUCGCCACUCUCCUUUUGAGGCUCUCUAGCGAGAGUUUGUGGGAUUCCUCAACGAUUCCUGAGAAAUCUCUAGGGAUUCCUUAGGGAUUGGUACUGAAGUGUAAUAAGAGCGGGAAGAAGAGUGUGGCUGUCUUGUGUUCAAUUUUGCCCCCUUACCCUUGUGUGCGAGGUAUUGGAAUUAAGUACUGAAAUUCCCUGCCCGAAAUUUUCCUCGCGCAAUGUUCGAAAAAAGAAAUAUUACAGGCUUCGUCUAGCGAAGUUUCGAAUACAGAAGUUAAGCCGAAUUCGGACGAAGCUCUGCCGCUUCAUAUUUGUUGUUUUUUUCCAAAUAGUGCAGAGCAGUGCCCGAAAAUGAGACAUAAACUUUUUAGCAAUUCGAUAAAAAUUUACAAGACAUCAAAAAAUACAACAAAUAUCAAAAGGUUUUCCUUUUGCCAGCCAGGACCAUGCACCCCGCAGAAACGAACUUGCACUGCGCUUAAGUCUCUGAAAGCUGCAUACUUUAUCUCAACAUUGUAGCUAUCGAGGCGUUCAU